ACCCGUUCUCAGGGCGGGGUGAAAGUCCCCACCGGCGGUAUGCGGUGGUUGCCGCGAGCCCGCGAGCGCUCUUCGGCUUCGAAGGGAUCAGCAGAUCAGGUGCGGUGCCUGAGCCGACGGUCAUAGUCCGGAUGAGAGAGAACGUAC
This 147-nucleotide non-coding RNA is filed under the name Aurantimonas manganoxydans SI85-9A1. Its description in RNAcentral is "FMN riboswitch aptamer (RFN element)". It matches the Rfam family "FMN riboswitch aptamer (RFN element)". Rfam says of the family: The RFN element is a highly conserved domain that is found frequently in the 5'-untranslated regions of prokaryotic mRNAs that encode for flavin mononucleotide (FMN) biosynthesis and transport proteins. Lineage: Bacteria; Pseudomonadati; Pseudomonadota; Alphaproteobacteria; Hyphomicrobiales; Aurantimonadaceae. The record is from Rfam by way of RNAcentral.